UCUUGAAAUUUAAGAAUUUGGCGGUAAUUUAGUCUCUUCAGAGGAACCUGUUUCUUAAUCGAUAAACCACGAAAAAUCUUACUUAUUAUUUAUUAAAUAUAAAAGCUUGUAUACCGUCAUUAGCAGAUAAUAUUUAGAGAUAUAUUAUUAAAUUUUAAAAAUUAAAAUAAAUUAGAUCAAGGUGCAGCCUAUGAAUAAGUUGGAAUGGGUUACAAUUAAGUUUAUAUAAAUAUGGAAUAAAAUUUGAAAUAAUUUUAGGAAGGAGGAUUUGAUUGUAAUAGGAAUUAAUAAGAUAAAAAGAUAUAAGCUCUAAAUUAUGUACAUAUCGCCCGUCGCAA
Molecule: ribosomal RNA, 338 nt
Filed under: Chorilia longipes
Lineage: Eukaryota; Metazoa; Arthropoda; Malacostraca; Decapoda; Pisidae
Description: partial 12S ribosomal RNA
Source: RNAcentral